AUGUUUCUCUCUCUAGCACCUAUAUCUUUGAACAAACCAGUGUCUGAUGUUCGACAUGUGUCAGUGUCAACACAACAUCAUCGAUCAAGGACACAAACCAUAAACAUAAGCACAAAGAUUCAAUCUUUGAUUCACAUUGUACUUGGACACAUUUUUCACAAAGAUUCUUUCCUUAUUCAUGAUGAUGAUGCAUUGAACAUGUUCUUUCUUCGUCCUUACAAAAUUGCCUGCAAAUACAUACAAUCAAUCACCCCCCCACAAUGUUACAACAUAGUACUAUCUACUCAUACCUACGUGUAUAUUUUGUACGGUUCAUGCUUUACAUACCCCUUUAUCAUUCACUGUUAA
This is a non-coding RNA of Vicia faba (fava bean), 348 nucleotides long. Lineage: Eukaryota; Viridiplantae; Streptophyta; Magnoliopsida; Fabales; Fabaceae. The record is from the annotation of a GenBank genome assembly.